Micropterus dolomieu (smallmouth bass) is the source of this 3509-nucleotide long non-coding RNA. RefSeq lists it as uncharacterized. NCBI's taxonomy places the organism in Eukaryota, Metazoa, Chordata, Actinopteri, Centrarchiformes, Centrarchidae. The record is from RefSeq and is a predicted model, not a curated record. The transcript is spliced from 4 exons.
AUUAUAUAUGAUUGACAAGUCGUUACCAUGGCAACCUGUCAAUCAGGCUAGAGCCGACUCGUACCCACGCCACUGUGUAAAUUUAACCAGCGCCGCUGAAAAGGCUUAUUGGGAGUUGGCUGUUUACUUUCUCUGUCUCUCUUUCUUCUCUGUAUCUCCAUCUCCCAGGAAUAAGGAUACCUCACAUUACUAUUUGCGUCUCCAGUUGAACACCAAAGCUUGCUUCCGGUGGAGACUGGUUGAAUGUGGGACAGAAAGACCCCAAAAAGAGGAAGACAGAGAAAGGUCAAUCUGUGACGAUUCUAUCAAGAUCGUGAUCUAAGAGCACCGCCCCGCCAGCAAGCAAACACAUGAAAGUGAAGCAGAGCGUGCAUGUGUCUCUCAAUAUGACAGCUUUUAUAAUAAAAGAUAACGAAGAGAGUGACAGCAAAAAGCAUCUCCCUCUCUUUUCUGCUGAGGGUUUCACAGGAACGUUUUCAGGCCCGAGGCUCCAAUCAAACCAAGCCAGGAGACAACACAACAGCCGACAGCUACUCAAUCAAUGUUGGAAACCCAGCUGACACCGACACGACAGUCAUCACUUCUUCUCACCAUGAGUCUUCAAGGUGUACCGCAGUUUUUUUUUUUUGCUCUAUUGGCAUCUCGAUUGGAAUGAGGAGGGUGAAAACUACAAUAUGCUACCUUAAAAAGCAUAUGGUUUCCCCGAGCUUCUUCUUUUCACAUGACCUGUAGGAGAGCAGACAGAACCUGACAGGCAACCUCUUGUGUGUGCAAAACUACCGUAAAACCUCUUUAAAGGAUUUCACGGUGGACAGUUUAGUGCACAAAGUACUUCAAUACCAGAUCCCAUACAAUGCUGGUCUGUCAAUCCACUACUUCGGUCCAGACUAAUAUGGCUUUUAGAUGGAUUGCCAUUAAAUUUUGUACAGAUACUCAUGUUUCCCAGAAGAUGAAUCCUAACCACUUUGGUGAUCUCCUUACAUUUACUCUAGCACUAACAAAAAGUUUAAUUGUUUUAUAGGUAAUUUUGGAAAACACUGACACCCAUAAUACCCCCCAGCCCAUCCCUGCAGUGAUCAAAGUGGUUCACACUUCUGGGAAACCAAAAACUGCUUGUUGGCGUUUUUCAUGUUGUUUGUCCUACUAUGCAAAGUUAUAAAGUGAUGGGGUUUUUCAAGCUUUUUUAUGCUUUUCAGAUGGACAAUGAUGAUGCCAAGCAGAAUAGAUGCAGGGCUUCCAUGCAGCUAUACAACCGUACUUAUUAAAAAAUCAUUAUCUAAUGGGUAGAGGGAUCAAUAAUAAUAUCAAAGUUGUGUUAUCACGCAACCCUGGUCACCAGAAUGAGAUAAAUUCUUUACAAUCAUGACAAUUCUCUUGCGCUGAACAUAAAAAAAAAAGAUAAUACAGAUAAAGAUUAAGGUAAUCUCAUUAAAAAUGUAUCAUCAGAGUCAAUUCAUCUUGCGUUCUUCCCAACCAGUAGGCUAGUGUAUUGAUCAAGCAAAUCAAACUGCACUCUAUCUACCAUUACAUGGGUGGACUAAUGACUGACCAAUAGAAAAUGUCCAUCAAAAGGCCAAUUACCAACUGGAUUUGCAGUUAUUUAGAGUCGUUUUAUCAUCACAAUGUCAAAUAUAGAUCUGCUCUGUGAAGAAAGAAUGCGUAAUGAUGGUGAAAAAUCACAAUAGGGCACCCAGGAGGGACGUUUCUGAGGCUAAAGGACAUUUUGUACAGUCGAUCACUAUUGAUGAACUACAGAAUAAAGGAGGUUGUGAAUGUCUGGAGUAGAACAACUGCAGCUUUUGGCUCCAACAAAACCUUGCGCUCUGUUCUCAUCAUUUUCAGAGGAUUACCAUCAUAUUCACUAAUUAAAGGAUGAAUUGAAAUCUUAUUCUCGGCGGUGCUGUAGUCUUAACGGGAUCCCUGGACAUUGGAGCUUUUAGUCUGCUGUUUUCUUUUACCAGAGAAGCCAUGAAGUGGCAACACAGUCUCUGUUACCAAUUAGCCUAGCUGAAGAAAACAGUGUGUUUAGUUUGUCCUCGCAGUCAUGGUGUGAAAAGCACUUUGCAUUUGUUCCUUCUUUCUUUUUGUGCUGCUCCGGCGCUCCAAGGACACUCAGCACACACCUUCCUCCCUGAGUAUCCCAACCUCAGACACAAACACAGCAGGCGAGAACAAGGGCACAUACUGAAUCUCUCUGAUAGAGAAAAUACAAAUAAUGUUGUCUGUGAUGCUCAGAAAAGAGUAUCACAUCAGCCAAUGGAGAUGGCAGAGGAUAUGAGCCAAACACACAGCUAUUGUGAUUUUUGUACCACAAAUGUUAGUGUGUCCCUGAAUGUAUGCAAGUUUAUCAUCAAUUAAGUUCAUUGAAAUUUCAAAUAUGUGGUCAACGUUACAAAAUGAACACCUUAUAAAUCACAUGGAACGUGUUUGGAUACGUGAGGUCCCGCUAGUUUAUCAAGAGCUGUCAACGUCCACUGUCAAACAGCUGCACAGUGAAAUUUGAAGUGACAGGAAUAAACUAUAGAGAGCCUAAGUCCCUCCACUUCCAGUGGACCACCGCGGGACCUUAUUUCAGAAUAAAUAUGCACCGUAGUCCACGGCGAGAGAGAAGAAUUUGUUGGUGGAACGUGGAAGGGCAUCAACCCAGCAGCAGGACCAGUAUCUGCUCCUUUGUGAGGGGAGGAACCGGAGCCAGAGCCCUACAAAAUAACCUCCAGCGGGCUAAUGAUGUGCAUGUUUGUGACCAAACUAUCAGAAAAAGACUCCAUAAGGGUAGCAAGAGGGCUGUACCGGGAUGAAAUCUUCAGAGCCAUCGUUAAACCUUACGCUGGUGCAGGUGGCCCUGUGUUCCUCCUGGUCAAUGUCCAGCCUCAUGUGGCCAGUGUGUGUAGGUAGCUCAUGGAUGACAAAGGCAGUGAUGCCAUUGACUGGCCGUCAUGUUCCACAGACCUGAAUCUAACUGAGAACCUCUUGGACGUUCUUUAUUGAAUCUUUUAGAAUCGAUAAUUGUGGCUUCCAAUCAUCCAUCCAUACAAUUUAUACCCCCUGCUUAUUCUGUUCAGGCUCAUGAAAUACAUGAGCAUACACCGGACAGCUUGUCAGGUCCAUCACAGGACUGACACACACGAACAGACAAACGGCAGUCAAUCUGGAGUUCACUUCACCUGCAUUUCUUUGCUUCGAGGAACAGAAAAAUCCUCCUAAACAUGAGGAGAAGGUACUUACUCCACACAGAGAAGUCACAGUGAACCUACUGGAUCAACAACACAUUCUUGGGCUGCCUGUAAAGUGUUAAAUCUGUUGUUUGUGGACAUUAAUUCCACCGCCAUUGUCUUGCCAAGCUCUCCACCACUUCAGAUAAUCUUAAUCAACCACUGACACAGCUGCAUUGUAAUCCUGCAUAUCCAAAUUUUGUGUGUAUUUGUACAGCUUUUCCUACUAUACACAGUGUCUAAUUCUGUACUGGGAUAGUAUCACCAUGCCUGUUAUAUAAAAUCUUCUGUCCUCUA